UUGGAGGGCAAGUCUGGUGCCAGUAGCCGCGGUAAUUCCAGCUCCAAUAGCGUAUAUUAAAGUUGUUGCAGUUAAAAAGCUCGUAGUUGAAUUUCGGGGUCAGUAGGUUGGUCAUGCCACUGGUAUGUACUGGUCUCACUGAUUCCUCCUUCCUGAUGAACUGUAAUGCCAUUAAUUUGGUGUUGCAGGGAAUCUGGACUGUUACUUUGAAAAAAUUAGAGUGUUUAAAGCAGGCUAACGUCUGAAUACAUUAGUAUGGAAUAAUGAAAUAGGACGUUCGAUCCUAUUUUGUUGGUUUCUAGGAUUGACAUAAUGAUUAAUAGGGAUAGUUGGGGGCAUUAGUAUUCAAUUGUUAGAGGUGAAAUUCUUGGAUUUAUUGAAGAUUAACUACUGCGAAAGCAUUUGCCAAGGAUGUUUUCAUUAAUUAAGAACGAAAGUUAGGGGAUCGAAGACGAUCAGAUACCGUCGUAGUCUUAACCAUAAAUUAUGCCGACUAGGGAUCGGAUGAUGUUAAUUUUUUAAUGACUCAUUCGGCGCCUUACGGGAAAC
RNAcentral lists this ribosomal RNA (549 nucleotides) under uncultured Glomeromycotina. RNAcentral describes it as "SSU rRNA". It matches the Rfam family "Eukaryotic small subunit ribosomal RNA", at positions 548 to 1098 of the family's 1831-position model. The record is from RNAcentral. Lineage: Eukaryota; Fungi; Glomeromycota.